Molecule: ribosomal RNA, 488 nt
Filed under: uncultured bacterium
Lineage: Bacteria
Description: bacterial SSU rRNA
Rfam family: Bacterial small subunit ribosomal RNA
Source: RNAcentral
CCCUAUUGGUUGGGAGCAUAAGGAACUACUCUCCGUUUGAGGGAUGGAGGCUUCUGGGAUGAAAACCUUGAGAGUCAAGGAGGAAGGUGAGACGGUAUUUGAGAUAUAGGGGGGGGGUAAUUCUUAGCAAAAAACCGCUGUAAUACGGGAGUGGCAAGCUGUAUCCGAAAUUAUUGGGUGAAAGUCAACCGCAGGCGGCCCUACAAUACUGCUGUUAAAAAGUGGAGGUUAACUCCAUCAUGGCAGUGGAAACUGUUGGGUUAGAGUGUGUAGAGGGCAGAGGGAAUUCCCUGUGUAGCGGUGAAAUGCGUAGAUAUCUGGAAGAUCACCAGUGGCGAAGGCGCUCUGAUGGGCCAUCAUUGACGCUCAUGGACGAAAGCCAGGGGAGAAAAAGGGAUUAGAUACCCCUGUAGUCUUGGCCGUAAACGAUGUACUUUAGGUGUCGGGAGAAUCGACCCUUCCUGUGUCGUAGCCAGGGCGUUAAUUUC